This 356-nucleotide transfer-messenger RNA is filed under the name Fuscovulum sp. It matches the Rfam family "Alphaproteobacteria transfer-messenger RNA". Rfam says of the family: Bacterial tmRNA, also known as 10Sa RNA or SsrA, is named for its dual tRNA and mRNA-like properties. The record is from RNAcentral. Lineage: Bacteria; Pseudomonadati; Pseudomonadota; Alphaproteobacteria; Rhodobacterales; Paracoccaceae.
GCCCUUGCGUCCGCCCCCCGGGCCUCCUAUAUUCCCCCUUGUCCGGGGCGACCCGGACUAUGGCGAUAAACGCACCUGUAAUAGACGGCUCGGACCCGGGGGCGGUACCCGGCGGCUCCACCAAAACCCCCGUUCAUUGCGGGCAGAUGGGGCCGAAAUAGGAUCGACGGACGUUCAAAGAGGCCAGCUUUCGCUCGGUGAGGUACCACCGUUAUCGGUCCAAGAUCACAGUUGCCAAUGACAACCGUGCUCCGGUGGCGCUGGCUGCGUAAGCGGCUCGCAAUACCAAAUCCAAGUCCUUCCGCUUAGCCGCGGAAGGCGGGGUCCGCAGGCACCUGGCAACAGAAGCCUGCACC